AUCCAACCGACGUGUCCUAAUUAGAACGAAACGUGUGUUCUGGAU
This 45-nucleotide non-coding RNA is filed under the name Schistosoma haematobium. The record is from RNAcentral. Lineage: Eukaryota; Metazoa; Platyhelminthes; Trematoda; Strigeidida; Schistosomatidae.